This 1774-nucleotide long non-coding RNA is filed under the name Mytilus galloprovincialis (Mediterranean mussel). Lineage: Eukaryota; Metazoa; Mollusca; Bivalvia; Mytilida; Mytilidae. The record is from RNAcentral.
GUACUGAUUAUAAAGUAUUCAAAGUAUUGUUAUAGUUUAAAAAAAUAGUUAUGUAUGGCCUUAAUGUUGUGAUGUCAUGCAAUGUUAUGUUCAUCUUGUUAUCUAACCAUCUGGCCAUCAAGAUUACAAUAUAUUCGUAUACAGUGUGGAUAAGGAAGACCUCAUGUAUUUGGUGUAUUUGCAUAGAUUAUUGAAGGAAUACAGGAAGAAAGUUAUGGGCCAUAAUCCAAUGUUAAAAAGACCAAUAUUGCAGCUACAAUUUAUAUAACAUAUGCUAUAUAAAAAAGAAGAUGUGGUAUGAUUGCCAAUGAGACAACUAUCCACAAAAGACCAAAAUGACACAGACAUUAACAACUAUAGGUCACCGUACGGCCUUCAACAAUGAGCAAAGCCGAUACCGCAUAUAUAGUCAGCUAUAAAAGGCCCCGAUUAAGACAAUGUAAAACAAUUCAAACGAGAAAACUAACGGCCUUAUUUAUGUAAAAAAAAAAAUGAGCUAGCUUAUCUAACAAAUAGUAUGCUCUGAGAAAGCUUAUUAACAAAUAGUAGGCUCUGAGGAUAAUUAUAUCCUGAACCUAGUGUGAUAAUAGAAUUUUUACAAUAGUUUACUUUGUUUAUUUGUAUGUACAUGCAUUUGUAAUUGUAACAUUCAUUCAUAAAAAGCAUCAAUUUCUUACCCAAGCACAGUGCUGUAAAAAAAAUAUAUAUUUAUUUCAUUGAGCCAACAAGUUUUAUGUGUGUCAACCCUCCUAAUAGAAAUUAAUAUUUUUAGUAAAUAACCAAAUCUAUAAAAGGUAGGCAUUUCAGUUAUUCAACUUUUUAGCUGACAGUGCAAAAACUGUAUAGCCAGUCAAGGGACGUUAAAAUUUCCAUUUGUAUUCAACUUUUUGUAUAUCGAAGACAUUUUAUCUGUCAAGUCUUUUCUUGGCAUGAUGUAGAUGGACAGUUAAUAUGAUACAUCUUUGACGAUGAAUAUUCAUUAUAUUGCUACUGAUGCAAUAAAAUUGAGAAUGGAAACGGGGAAUAUAGUAAAGAGAUUACCACAUAACCAUAAGCAGAAAACAGCCCAAGGCUACCAAUGGGUCUUUAACACGGUGAGUAAAACUGCAGAGUUAAAUUUUAUUGGAAGCAAAAAUGUGUUCAUUUUGUAAAGAAUAAUAUGAUUACAUCAAAACAAUAUUUGUUAAACGUAUUUGCAUUAACUUGUAACUGCCUUUCAGAUGGCAUUACUUCCAUACAACAAUAUCUAAAUUUGUCACCAACCGAUAUUUACCAACACUAAUAGCAGGUAGAAUUACACAUAAUGUAAAAAAAAUACUGCUGGUUAUUGGCAUAUAAGAGUUGCCUCCUCUUGACAAUCAUUGAAUAUUAUAUUGUCACAAACUUUAUGAAUGAGAGGAGGAACUAUCUAAAUGAAACUGAUUCUUCAGUCCAAAUAUUUCUUAAAUUCUGAAACUUAUUAUUUUAGUGGGGAAAAACGUCUAUCCAUGUAAAAAGACUUGCAAAUUAGAAACAUAGAUUUUUAUUUGUGUAUUUUUUGCUGGCACAGAAGUGUUCAUAAUGUGAUAUAUGUAUACUGAAUAAAUAUGUUAUGUAUCUGUGAAAGAUUGUGUGCAUGUGUGUAAUUGUACACUAGUUGAAGUGUAGACACACAAUGCUGAUGUUAUAUGUAUAUAAAUCUUUUAUGAAAUGUGUCUUGUUGCUUAUACUAAUUUUGCCUAUUGAUUUUGAUACCAAUACUUCGACAGAGUGUUUAUAUUUCACCUAUUAUUUU